RNAcentral lists this ribosomal RNA (410 nucleotides) under uncultured bacterium. Its description in RNAcentral is "bacterial SSU rRNA". It matches the Rfam family "Bacterial small subunit ribosomal RNA", at positions 29 to 433 of the family's 1533-position model. The record is from RNAcentral.
AGUGAACGCUGGCGGCAGGCCUAACACAUGCAAGUCGAACGGCAGCACAGUGGAGCUUGCUCCAUGGUGGCGAGUGGCGGACGGGGUGAGGAAUACAUCGGAAUCUGCCCAGUCGUGGGGGAUAACAUAGGGAAACUUAUGCUAAUACCGCAUACGACCUACGGGUGAAAGCGGGGGAUCGCAAGACCUCGCGCGAUUGGAUGAGCCGAUGUCCGAUUAGCUAGUUGGCGGGGUAAUGGCCCACCAAGGCGACGAUCGGUAGCUGGUCUGAGAGGAUGAUCAGCCACACUGGAACUGAGACACGGUCCAGACUCCUACGGGAGGCAGCAGUGGGGAAUAUUGGACAAUGGGCGCAAGCCUGAUCCAGCCAUGCCGCGUGGGUGAAGAAGGCCUUCGGGUUGUAAAGGCCC